AUGCAGCCCAGGAUACAGUUGGCUUUCUGGGCUGUGAGGGCAUGUUGUUGGCUCAUGUUCAGCCUGCCAUCCACCAGUACCCCCAAGUCCUUUUCAGCAGGGUAGUGCUCUACCUUUACAUCACCUAGCUUUAACUGAUAGCAGGGGUUGCCACGACCCAGGUGCUAGACACUGCACUUAGAUUUGUUGAAUCUCAUGAGGUUCACCUGGGCAUGAGCCUGUCUCAGUCUCUUUGGAUCAAAUCCUGUCCCUCAGCCAUGUCAGCCACACCACAGAGCUUGUUAUCAUCCACAAACUUACUCAGAGUGCACUCGAUCCCACUGUUGAUGUUAUUGAUGAAGAUGUUAAAGAGCACUGGUGCCAGUACCGACCCCUGAGGGGCACCACUUGUCGCUCUCCAUCUGGACCUUAAACCAUUGACAACCACUUUCUGAGUACGAUCUCAACCAGUUCCUCGUCCAUCAAACAGUCUACCCAUCAAAUCCAUAUCUUUCCAGUUUGGGAGAGAAGGAUGUUGUUGGGUUAUGUGUCCAAGGCCUUAACUAAAGUCCAGACAGAUGACAUCAGUGGCUCUUCAGUUGUCUACUGACUUAGUUAUGCCAUCAUAGAAGGCCACUAGGUUGGUCAGGUAGGACCUGCUCUUGGUGAAGCCACAUUGGUUAUCCCAUAUCACCUCCUUCUCUUUCAUAUGCCUUGGUAUAGCUUCCAGGAAGAUCUUUUCCAUGAACUUCACUUCCUUUCAUGACAUCCUGCAUCUGGGGACAGAGAGCUCUUUUGCCAUAAGGAGGUCUGCAUUGCUUCACUUGCUGUGCACUUCAACAGUGCUUGAAUGUGUCUGCAGAAUUGUCCUGUGUGUGUGCUGUGGCAAAGCAGCAACUGCUCACCUUGUGGGCCACUGUUAAUGCAAGGAGAGGAGGAAGAAAGAGAGGAAAGGAGAAUCUCAGGUUAGCAAGCUAUAACGAUGUCAUUCCCAAGGGCCUUUUAUGUUUGAAUCCCACCUCAUUUUUCUCAGUGUGGUUGCAGGGAGGAAAUCUUUAUCAGCGUCUGAAGCAAGAUUUAGGUAAAUCCAGGAAACAAAAGCCUCACACAUCUAUUCGUGCCAUAGGUAAUAAACUAUUUGUAGUCCAGUUUCACCACUUGCAUCUUAUAACAUAUGGAAGCUUUUUACUUACUUCCCAGUUCAAAACACAAAUUUGGUUUUGCCUUCUAUUUUGUUGUACAGAAGUACAAAAGGCUGCUUGGUUGGUCUGAAAGUAGGCUUGAAACUCUGAAAGAAAUUAGUUUAGCUAAUCUCUGCAUGUAGUAAUUCUUUCUCUCAUACUAGCAAAUGUUAAGUUUUGUGCUAUUUUUUCCCUUCCUCUUCCCUACUAUUUUCAGUCCUUUCAUCUUAUUUUUAAUCUAUCCAGUAGCCCAGUCAUCACUCAUGAAUGGUAGAAGAGACAAGGGGAAAAAAGCAUAUAUAUAUUUUUAGACUAAAACCUGCUUUGAAAUAAGCACUUGUCUAAGGUACUACAGUAUAACUAUACUGAGUAUUGCAUCCUGCUCUCUCCUAGAGACAGCAUUCACCCAAGGCAUUGUGUAAUUCCUGUGCACUAAGAGAGGUGAUGACCUGUAACAACAUCUACCCCCAGUAUCUUUCUUUUCCUUUAGAGCACUGCUUACUGUGGCAGAAAGAAGCAAAGUGCAAGUGACAACGCCAGUUGGUUUUUAUUUUUUUUUUUUUCACCAAAAAUGUUGCGAUUUAAGAGUUUAAAGUGACACAGAAUAAAAGGUACGAGUCCAAGGAUGGAAUAAGAGAGAGCAGGGCUACGAGGAAAGACGGAGUCACUUGUUAUUUCUCUUUGAACGUGUCCUCAGCACAGUCUAGCUGGCUGCCUGUGGCCUGCUCCCGUGCCGUGCCACCACCUGCUUCACAGAGGACACAGCAGCAGUGCAGGCAGUGGUUGCUCCCUGUGGGCCAGGUACUGCUGUGUGUAUUAGAGGUGACACAGAGAGCUGCGGGCUGCUGGUGGCCGCUCACUGCUCACAAAGCCUCGGUAGCUGCUGAGGGAUCAAGAAGGCGCUGAAAUCCCCCACUGAAAAACGUGAACAGCUCAAGAGCCAUCCCAGAUUUCUUCAUGGCAUAGGUUUGCAGUCAUUAAUUUAAAAGCAAAAGGAAUAAUGGCCUAGAAGCGGACAGCAGCUAUUGUGAUGAAUCUUUCAAGCUUGCAUCAAAGGUCUAAGGAUAAAUCCCAGUUACAUAAAUAGAUGAGUUUUCUUUUUAUAUCCAGUGGCUACCAUGGAUUUUUUUCAUUAUUGUUCUCCCACAUCUGCUUAGCACCUGAAAACUUCAUUCACUUUGGUAAGAAAGGCAUUAUUGCCAUCUCCUUGUCAUCUUUGUUUUUCUUCUUACAUAAACAAUGAUGCUGUGCUUACACUAGAAAAAGACAGCUCGUUGUCCCGUUUGAUUUCAAACUACGUCUGUAAUGUGCCACAGUUCUGCGUGCAGAAUGUCUCCUGACAUGACCAGGAACCUCCUGCUUGGAACAGAAGCCUCCUCUUACCCAGCUGUGUGCUGCUCAUUGCCACUGGAGUGAUGUGGGAUACUGAGCACUGUAUACAUUUCUGCCUAGUUCAGUUCUUGUAUCUCUCAGUUUGGAUCAAGGGGAUACGGAGAUUUUUGGCAGUACAAACACAACAUAGGCUGCAAAAGUAGCAGCCGGCUUCCAGACAUCCACUACCUUCAUGUUACCCUGCAUAAAAGGCAAAGCUGUGCCAGGUGCCACUCUCUGAGCAUGUGCCCAGUUAGCCCAAAGCAAACAUGAUUGCCCUGGAGCCAAGCUGCUGUUGUUUGUUUUGAUGUGGGAUCUGCAAUGUGGACCAUGCUUUGCAGGAAACCAGAAGAUUCAGCGUAUGAGGUCAAACUCUUGACAAGUGUAGCAACAUCUGCAUCUAAAGGGCAGAGUAGAGCACUUUUAUCUCUGAGCAGCUGUGCUCACCAUUUGGAGUUUGCUCACUGCCUCUGCUUGGUGCACUGUUAGAUUUUUCUGGACUUGGAGCCAGGAGGAAAAGAAUUGGAUGAACAAGAAUGGCACUUGUGGGGAUAAAUCCAGUCCCUGGAGUGAGCACCCGAAUCAGAAGGUAGUGAAGAAAAAAGCCUCAACUUACUUCUGUCAAGAAAGCUGUCAGGACCAAGAGACAAUUAGAGCUGUAGCUGUUCUAUGUCUUUUUUAGCUGGCAUGCAAAUUCCUGUCAUGGUAAGUCUCAUCUGUGAUCUGGCAGGGGGUAAACGAGGCGUCGGGGGUAAACGAGGCGCCAACAAUAGUUGAGCUCGGCGGCUACUGCUGUUUGGUGUGGUGGAGUGUCCACAAUGCCAGCUGAGUAGAUGGUAGCAUCCUGAGCCCUGAGGGAAUGGUGCUGGUGUUGGGCUUGCUGAAAAGUCAAGGGUAAAAUGGAGCUGCAGGAUGCCUUGCCACAGUUACUGAGCAAGGAUGUUACAGAGUCAAAAAGAUAUAGCUCCUGUAAAAGCCAAAAUCCCUAUUUACUGUUUUUGUUUUCCGUAGCAGAAAAUUACAGCUUCUACAUCACUCUUUUCUCAAGAUCAGCAGCCAUCACUGCAAUCUUCCUGCCAUGAGCAAGGGUUGCUGGGUUGCUCUUGCUACAGUAUUGGGAAAUAAAGAGGAGGAGUAAUGUAAAUCAGGCUGUCUGUACCCUGUCUUGACUGGCGGCAUUACCUGCCACCAUCCUCACCAGGAGAGGAGGGACAGUCACCAAACUGUUCACAACCCACAGGGUUACUUUUAUUAAAAGAUAUGUUGGAGUGAAGAGGCAGUGGAGCCAUUUCAGCCCAUUUUCAAAACAGUGAGUGAAAAC
Gallus gallus (chicken) is the source of this 3852-nucleotide long non-coding RNA. RefSeq lists it as uncharacterized. NCBI's taxonomy places the organism in Eukaryota, Metazoa, Chordata, Aves, Galliformes, Phasianidae. The record is from RefSeq and is a predicted model, not a curated record. The transcript is spliced from 3 exons.